RNAcentral lists this ribosomal RNA (503 nucleotides) under uncultured bacterium. RNAcentral describes it as "partial 16S ribosomal RNA". It matches the Rfam family "Bacterial small subunit ribosomal RNA", at positions 30 to 523 of the family's 1533-position model. The record is from RNAcentral.
AUUGAACGCUGGCGGCAGGCUUAACACAUGCAAGUCGAGCGGGGUGAUGGUGCUUGCACUAUCACUUAGCGGCGGACGGGUGAGUAAUGCUUAGGAAUCUGCCUAUUAGUGGGGGACAACAUCUCGAAAGGGAUGCUAAUACCGCAUACGUCCUACGGGAGAAAGCAGGGGAUCACUUGUGACCUUGCGCUAAUAGAUGAGCCUAGGUCGGAUUAGCUAGUUGGUGGGGUAAAGGACUACCAAGGCGACGAUCUGUAGCGGGUCUGAGAGGAUGAUCCCCCAAACUGGGACUGAGACACGGCCCAGACUCCUUCGGGAGGCAGCCGUGGGGAAUAUUGGACAAUGGGGGGAACCCUGAUCCAGCCAUGCCGCGUGUGUGAAGAAGGCCUUAUGGUUGUAAAGCACAUUAAGCGAGUAGGAGGCUCUUUUGGUUAAUACCCAAGAUGAGUGGACGUUACUCGCAGAAUAAGCACCGGCUAACUCUGUGCCAGCCGCCGCGGUAA